CCUACGGGAGGCUGCAGUGAGGAAUAUUGGUCAAUGGACGCAAGUCUGAACCAGCCAUGCCGCGUGCAGGAUGACGGCUCUAUGAGUUGUAAACUGCUGUUGUACGAGGGUAAACCCCGAUACGUGUAUCGGGUUGAAAGUAUCGUACGAAUAAGGAUCGGCUAACUCCGUGCCAGCAGCCGCGGUAAUACGGAGGAUCCGAGCGUUAUCCGGAUGUAUUGGGUUAAAAGGGUGCGUAGGCGGAGUGUCAAGUCAGCGGUAAAAUUUCGGGGCUCAACCCCGUCGUGCCGUUGAAACUGACACCCUUGAGUGAGUGAGAAGUAAGCGGAAUGCGUGGUGUAGCGGUGAAAUGCAUAGAUAUCACGCAGAACGCCGAUUGCGAAGGCAGCUUACCGGCGUUCAACUGACGCUGAGGCACGAAAGUGCGGGUAUCGAACAGGAUUAGAUACCCUUGUAGUC
This 459-nucleotide ribosomal RNA is filed under the name uncultured bacterium. Its description in RNAcentral is "partial 16S ribosomal RNA". It matches the Rfam family "Bacterial small subunit ribosomal RNA", at positions 338 to 795 of the family's 1533-position model. The record is from RNAcentral.